Long non-coding RNA from Cynoglossus semilaevis (tongue sole), 662 nucleotides. RefSeq lists it as uncharacterized. The record is from RefSeq and is a predicted model, not a curated record. The transcript is spliced from 2 exons. NCBI's taxonomy places the organism in Eukaryota, Metazoa, Chordata, Actinopteri, Pleuronectiformes, Cynoglossidae.
CGACUGCCGUUCAACAGUGCGUUGCGCAAAUGCAGUUAAAAAGCCAACCAAGUUAGUGUCAAAUCCGUGGGCAGCUGAUCACAAAACGCAUACCACAUGACCAGAAGCAUGUGGCCGAACCCCACACGGUGGUCCGCAUUAUUCGGCUGCUCAGAAGCAACUCUGCUCCAGACGCAUUUACGGGAAACGGCAUGUACUGUAUAUGUUUCGGCUACAGCCUAUUGCCACAUACUGCGCAGCAACGACAGCAAAUCGGCGCACCGCCGGGACACUUUGCAAAGUUGUAAUUUUUGUGAUGUUUCCGUGUAGGUUUACCUGUGAUAUUUACGCCGAAUUAUAAAUGAGAGGUUCGUGUCCGGUGGCCCCGGGUGGACGGCGGUACUCAACGGUUGGCAAAUCAUUGUCACCUUUCACACCUUGACCCGUACCAUCCCUGGAAAGUUUCGCCUUCUCGUUAAUGAUGUCCUGCUUAAUCUCAUCUGGUCGUUUCUGGAGAGUAUCCUUGGCCUCCAGCAGCGCUUUUUCGUGGUCUUUCCUGAUUUUCGCCAGAAUCCUGUCGUCGCUGCCAGCCGAACCUGAGUCGCUGCUGUCCGGACCGUUGCGGGUGUUGGUCUCCACCGCGGAGGAAUGAAAGAAAACUCCGCUGAGCAGCUUGGAGGAGU